RNAcentral lists this ribosomal RNA (492 nucleotides) under uncultured bacterium. RNAcentral describes it as "partial 16S ribosomal RNA". It matches the Rfam family "Bacterial small subunit ribosomal RNA", at positions 29 to 507 of the family's 1533-position model. The record is from RNAcentral.
AGUGAACGCUGGCGGUAGGCCUAACACAUGCAAGUCGAACGGCAGCACAGUAAGAGCUUGCUCUUACGGGUGGCGAGUGGCGGACGGGUGAGGAAUACAUCGGAAUCUACUUUUUCGUGGGGGAUAACGUAGGGAAACUUACGCUAAUACCGCAUACGACCUACGGGUGAAAGCAGGGGAUCUUCGGACCUUGCGCGAUUGAAUGCGCCGAUGUCGGAUUAGUUAGUUGGCGGGGUAAAGGCCCACCAAGGGGACGAUCCGUAGCUGGUCUGAGAGGAUGAUCAGCCACACUGGAACUGAGACACGGUCCAGACUCCUACGGGAGGCAGCAGUGGGGAAUAUUGGACAAUGGGCGCAAGCCUGAUCCAGCCAUACCGCGUGGGUGAAGAAGGCCUUCGGGGUGGAAAGCCCUUUUGUUGGGAAAGAAAAGCAGCAGGUUAAUACCCCGCUGUUCUGACGGUACCCAAAGAAUAAGCACCGGCUAUCUUCGUG